AGAACACACUAUGGCCACGCCUUUAAGAAGAUGUUGGCAAACAGGUCUGGCGUGGUGCCUUCCUAUUGGCUGAUUUAAUCCUGUCUCAGCCAACUACAUUCAGAGGAGCCACUGUCUUGGAGUUGGGGGCAGGGACUGGGCUGACCAGCAUAGUCAUGGCAACGGUGGCCAAAACAGUGUACUGCACAGACGUUGGGGAGGAUCUACUGAGGAGAUGCCAAGAACGU
Molecule: long non-coding RNA, 227 nt
Organism: Salvelinus sp. IW2-2015
Lineage: Eukaryota; Metazoa; Chordata; Actinopteri; Salmoniformes; Salmonidae
Source: RefSeq, a predicted model, not a curated record